Molecule: long non-coding RNA, 153 nt
Organism: Choloepus didactylus (southern two-toed sloth)
Lineage: Eukaryota; Metazoa; Chordata; Mammalia; Pilosa; Megalonychidae
Exons: 3
Source: RefSeq, a predicted model, not a curated record
CAAAGCCUUGACAUCCAAAGGAAGAGCUGAGGAUGCCAGAGGACGAAGGAACCAGGUGAUCGAAUGGUACAGCAAUGAGGAAACUGAGGCACACGGAGGGCACAUGUCCUGUGCUCACAGAGCCAGGAGGUACCAGAGGGGAACUGAACCAAG